UACAUUUGAUGUGUUUCUCACAUCGUUUCUGUGCAUCCAAGAUUGCAAUUGAAUAUAUGAGAAUUUAGCUAUAUUAGAGAUAUUAUUUUAUUUUUGUAACAUGUAAAAGUCGCAAAGCGUAUCAUUCUGAACCAACUGAUACAGGGAAGUUAUCCCAAACAUAUGACAGGAUUUGUAAUUGAAGUCUGGUAUGAGAGUGGAGAGAGCCUCUAUGAGCAGUGCUAGGGAAAUUUGUGUGCCAGUGUUGUGUUUGUGUCUGUAUUAAUCCCAAUAGUGAAGUGUCACCUCAGUGGUUGGUAGUAUGCUCGGGUAUUUGCCGUGCAAAGAUGUUGGAGUCCAUGCUAGAGUAAAAUGUAACCUUGUACUGCAGAGAACCCCUGAGUCUCACAGAAUGUAAUAAUUUAAUUGUUUCAUUCAUUUAUAUUGCAGCUAUGAGAGUUUAUAAUUAGG
This is a non-coding RNA of Pelobates cultripes (western spadefoot toad), 450 nucleotides long. Lineage: Eukaryota; Metazoa; Chordata; Amphibia; Anura; Pelobatidae. The record is from the annotation of a GenBank genome assembly.